This 305-nucleotide ribosomal RNA is filed under the name uncultured bacterium. RNAcentral's name for it is "bacterial SSU rRNA". It matches the Rfam family "Bacterial small subunit ribosomal RNA", at positions 337 to 659 of the family's 1533-position model. The record is from RNAcentral.
GCCUACGGGGGGCAGCAGUGGGGAAUAUUGCACAAUGGGGGGAACCCUGAUGCAGCGACGCCGCGUGAGUGAAGAAGUAUUUCGGUAUGUAAAGCUCUAUCAGCAGGGAAGAAAAUGACGGUACCUGUCGAAUAAGCCACGGCUAACUACGUGCCAGCAGCCGCGGUAAUACGUAGGUGGCAAGCGUUGUCCGGAUUUACUGGGUGUAGAGGGCGUGUAGCCGGGCUGACAAGUCAGAUGUGAAAUCCGGGGGCUCAACCCCCGAACUGCAUUUGAAACUGUUGGUCUUGAGUAUCGGAGAGGCG